Long non-coding RNA from Cydia fagiglandana, 2168 nucleotides. RefSeq lists it as uncharacterized. Lineage: Eukaryota; Metazoa; Arthropoda; Insecta; Lepidoptera; Tortricidae. The record is from RefSeq and is a predicted model, not a curated record. The transcript has 2 exons.
AGGAAUCCUCUAGACCGAGUUUAGAGCAAUUAUUUCAUGCAACCGAUGAUGCCAAAAAUGCGGGGGUGCGCGGGACGAGGUGAGCGAAGUCCCGUGCCGUGAUUGGUCCGUUCAAACACACGGACGUCACACAAAUACACUUUCGACUCGAACAUGGAGUAAAAUUACCGUAUACGUGGCAGAGGGGGUAGCGCGACUAUGUCAGGCAGUCUGGUGGAUGUCUUGUCUGUGGUUCGGAUAUACUAUACAAUGUACACGUUCUCUAAAUAAUGUAGCUUUAAUGCAGUUUAUUUUAAAUAUUGCUUACACGGUGUCGGAGUACACGGAAUCUUACUAUAAUCGCGAACGUUCCGGAGCUACAGUCCAGCGCGUCGGGUUCCAUAAAUACGAUCAAUGACUUCUCCAAACUCAAGCUAGGAUCCGCUCGCUAGAUGGGGUUAAAUUGCUACAGAUGUAGUGCAACUAGUGCAUAAUGGGGUUGGCCGGUCGAAGUAUUAAGCAGAUGGCGCCAUCAUAGCUUGCCCUGUCAAUCCCUAGAAUUGUGUCAAAUUUUUGUUUUUUUAAUGCCCUGGAUGCCAGCUCUUUAAGCCAAAUCUCAUAGAAAAAGGGGCAAGCUAUGAUGGCGCCAUCUAUGCAAACCUUUGACAGUUGCCAACCCUAUUAUUUUCCAUUCAUAGAGGUACAAUAAUAUAGAGAUGACACGGGGGAGGGGCUAAACGACCGAACGAGAUGCACUUAUGGAAAAUUCAGUAGGAGUAGCAGAGAAAGCGGUAUUAUUGCUUGUCCUUGUCACAGUCUCUCUUUUUGUUUGUUCCCCACCAAAAAAUUAGUAUGGUUUAUGGUGGGCAACAAAUAACCCAACCGAAUUACGUAGAUUGUUUUUGGUAUGUCAGUAAUGUUAAAACGUGUUUUCAAUAUUGUCGCUUUGCGUAUAUUUUGUCCCUCACGGAGGCACGCGUAUAGCUCAUCUAUGUAAUACUAGGUCUAUGUUUCCAUCGUAUUUUGACGAAAACGUACGAACGUGUCUUGUCUUGCUAUUUCAGUCUCGGUCUCGGUACAAAAAGUACCGAGGUUGACUGAAGUAGCAUGACCAUGCCAAAUACGAACGUUUCCGGGAAAAUACGAUGGCUAACAAUUAUGCACUGCACUACAUCUGUAAUUGCUUGCCACAGAAGGCGCUUUGGGGAAAGGGUUCCAAGUUGUCUGUAGAUCUGUAGUCUAUGGUAUAUGUUUUCCGAUAUUUGCUAACGUAGGUAUUUUAGGUGUAGGUACAUUUUAUUAGAUUCGCAAAAUAUGAUACAAAAAUCAGCAAAAAAUACAAAUAACCAACGUUGGUUUGUUUUUAAAAUUUAGUACCAAAACAAUUCAUUUGUUUGUUUUUUAACUCGAUAUCGCAUCUGAAAUGAAAAUCAGAAUUCAAUUCUAAAUUUAAUGCUUUUAAUUUGUCACAUAAUAUCACUCGGAACCAUUUCACUACAACGCAAUCUGUGUUGAGCUUUUGGCGUUUGAUCUCCUUCACCUGUUCAAUAGGGAAUAUUACGCAAAACUCCGCGUAGAGGGCGCCACUAUCACAAACAGGGUCUACCGCGAAACACGAAGUGAAAGAGAGGCAGAUAACGAAAAUCGGUAGGCCUCUGUAAACACCGCCUUGAUGCAUCAAUGUCAUAGUGAUAACCAAAGAGAAUAUAAUCACUACGUGAUUCGUCAAAAAACUGUUUAAAGCAUUGUAUGUACAAGUCUAUGGUUUACAAUUUGUGCUAGUGCUGCACUCUGGCGGCAGAACAUUGCAGUAAUACCCAUAAUAUUGUAAUAUUCUGUAUUAUCCAGUUUAAUUUAAGUACCUUACGUUACCUGUCCACUGUAGGUAGCCGAUUUAGAAAUAAAGCUUUUUCAUAAAAAAAUGUUUAUUGCUCUUGUACAAGAAUAAAAAAAUAUAACAACAGUAAAGAUCAGAUCGACCAAAGAAGAAUUGUUUUUUGACAUUAAAUCUCAGAUUUAUUUUAUUCUAGUUUCGUCAAUCUGGCCUUGACUGAUUAAGGCAAGGUAUUUCUGGCCAAUAUGUGAUAUUUUCGAUCCUCGAAAUAGCAUCACAGAGUGAUAUUGAAUACCUCACCUUAAUGUAAAUAAAUGCACAUUUCACUUAAAUAUAUACAUUGAUGUUAGAUGUA